GGUUAAGCGACUAAGCGUACACGGUGGAUGCCCUGGCAGUCAGAGGCGAUGAAGGGCGUGCUAAUCUGCGAUAAGCGCCGGUAAGGUGAUAUGAACCGUUAUAACCGGCGAUACCCGAAUGGGGAAACCCAGUGUGUUUCGACACACUAUCAUUAACUGAAUCCAUAGGUUAAUGAGGCGAACCGGGGGAACUGAAACAUCUAAGUACCCCGAGGAAAAGAAAUCAACCGAGAUUCCCCCAGUAGCGGCGAGCGAACGGGGAGGAGCCCAGAGCCUGAAUCAGCAUGUGUGUUAGUGGAAGCGUCUGGAAAGGCGCGCGAUACAGGGUGACAGCCCCGUACACAAAAGCGCAUGUGCUGUGAGCUCGAUGAGUAGGGCGGGACACGUGGUAUCCUGUCUGAAUAUGGGGGGACCAUCCUCCAAGGCUAAAUACUCCUGACUGACCGAUAGUGAACCAGUACCGUGAGGGAAAGGCGAAAAGAACCCCGGCGAGGGGAGUGAAAAAGAACCUGAAACCGUGUACGUACAAGCAGUGGGAGCACCCUUUGGGGUGUGACUGCGUACCUUUUGUAUAAUGGGUCAGCGACUUAUAUUCUGUAGCAAGGUUAACCGAAUAGGGGAGCCGGAGGGAAACCGAGUCUUAACCGGGCGUUAAGUUGCAGGGUAUAGACCCGAAACCCGGUGAUCUAGCCAUGGGCAGGUUGAAGGUUGGGUAACACUAACUGGAGGACCGAACCGACUAAUGUUGAAAAAUUAGCGGAUGACCUGUGGCUGGGGGUGAAAGGCCAAUCAAACCGGGAGAUAGCUGGUUCUCCCCGAAAGCUAUUUAGGUAGCGCCUCGUGAAUUCAUCUCCGGGGGUAGAGCACUGUUUCGGCUAGGGGGCCAUCCCGGCUUACCAACCCGAUGCAAACUGCGAAUACCGGAGAAUGUUAUCACGGGAGACACACGGCGGGUGCUAACGUCCGUCGUGAAGAGGGAAACAACCCAGACCGCCAGCUAAGGUCCCAAAGUCAUGGUUAAGUGGGAAACGAUGUGGGAAGGCCCAGACAGCCAGGAUGUUGGCUUAGAAGCAGCCAUCAUUUAAAGAAAGCGUAAUAGCUCACUGGUCGAGUCGGCCUGCGCGGAAGAUGUAACGGGGCUAAACCAUGCACCGAAGCUGCGGCAGCGACGCUGAUGCGUUGUUGGGUAGGGGAGCGUUCUGUAAGCCUGCGAAGGUGGCCUGUGAGGGUUGCUGGAGGUAUCAGAAGUGCGAAUGCUGACAUAAGUAACGAUAAAGCGGGUGAAAAGCCCGCUCGCCGGAAGACCAAGGGUUCCUGUCCAACGUUAAUCGGGGCAGGGUGAGUCGACCCCUAAGGCGAGGCCGAAAGGCGUAGUCGAUGGGAAACGGGUUAAUAUUCCCGUACUUGGUGUUACUGCGAAGGGGGGACGGAGAAGGCUAUGUUGGCCGGGCGACGGUUGUCCCGGUUUAAGCGUGUAGGUGUGUGUUCCAGGUAAAUCCGGUUCACUUUAACACUGAGGCGUGAUGACGAGGCACUACGGUGCUGAAGCAACAAAUGCCCUGCUUCCAGGAAAAGCCUCUAAGCAUCAGGUAACAUCAAAUCGUACCCCAAACCGACACAGGUGGUCAGGUAGAGAAUACCAAGGCGCUUGAGAGAACUCGGGUGAAGGAACUAGGCAAAAUGGUGCCGUAACUUCGGGAGAAGGCACGCUGACACGUAGGUGAAGUGAUUUACUCAUGGAGCUGAAGUCAGUCGAAGAUACCAGCUGGCUGCAACUGUUUAUUAAAAACACAGCACUGUGCAAACACGAAAGUGGACGUAUACGGUGUGACGCCUGCCCGGUGCCGGAAGGUUAAUUGAUGGGGUCAGCGCAAGCGAAGCUCCUGAUCGAAGCCCCGGUAAACGGCGGCCGUAACUAUAACGGUCCUAAGGUAGCGAAAUUCCUUGUCGGGUAAGUUCCGACCUGCACGAAUGGCGUAAUGAUGGCCAGGCUGUCUCCACCCGAGACUCAGUGAAAUUGAACUCGCUGUGAAGAUGCAGUGUACCCGCGGCAAGACGGAAAGACCCCGUGAACCUUUACUAUAGCUUGACACUGAACAUUGAGCCUUGAUGUGUAGGAUAGGUGGGAGGCUUUGAAGUGUGGACGCCAGUCUGCAUGGAGCCGGCCUUGAAAUACCACCCUUUAAUGUUUGAUGUUCUAACGUGGACCCGUGAUCCGGGUUGCGGACAGUGUCUGGUGGGUAGUUUGACUGGGGCGGUCUCCUCCUAAAGAGUAACGGAGGAGCACGAAGGUUGGCUAAUCCUGGUCGGACAUCAGGAGGUUAGUGCAAUGGCAUAAGCCAGCUUGACUGCGAGCGUGACGGCGCGAGCAGGUGCGAAAGCAGGUCAUAGUGAUCCGGUGGUUCUGAAUGGAAGGGCCAUCGCUCAACGGAUAAAAGGUACUCCGGGGAUAACAGGCUGAUACCGCCCAAGAGUUCAUAUCGACGGCGGUGUUUGGCACCUCGAUGUCGGCUCAUCACAUCCUGGGGCUGAAGUAGGUCCCAAGGGUAUGGCUGUUCGCCAUUUAAAGUGGUACGCGAGCUGGGUUUAGAACGUCGUGAGACAGUUCGGUCCCUAUCUGCCGUGGGCGCUGGAGAACUGAGGGGGGCUGCUCCUAGUACGAGAGGACCGGAGUGGACGCAUCACUGGUGUUCGGGUUGUCAUGCCAAUGGCACUGCCCGGUAGCUAAAUGCGGAAGAGAUAAGUGCUGAAAGCAUCUAAGCACGAAACUUGCCCCGAGAUGAGUUCUCCCUGAGACUUAGAGUCUCCUGAAGGAACGUUGAAGACGACGACGUUGAUAGGCCGGGUGUGUAAGCGCAGCGAUGCGUUGAGCUAACCGGUACUAAUGAACCGUGAGGCUUAACCUU
Molecule: ribosomal RNA, 2906 nt
Filed under: Salmonella enterica
Lineage: Bacteria; Pseudomonadati; Pseudomonadota; Gammaproteobacteria; Enterobacterales; Enterobacteriaceae
Also listed under: 3 other names
Description: 23S ribosomal RNA
Rfam family: Bacterial large subunit ribosomal RNA
Source: RNAcentral